UACAUUUGAUUUUAAAAUUAUCCUAUCCUCCAAUUUUAUCAAAAUAUCUAUUCAUAUCUAUCCAUAUUACUUUAUAAAAUCCCUAAUUCCUAAAUUCCCAAAUCAAACUCAGAAACCCUAAUUCCCAAAUUGAGGAACCCUAACCCCAGCUUCUAAACGCAGCCCCACCCCCUUUCUUCCCAAACCUAAUACUGAAACGGAAUCAGACAGGGAGAGAGAGAGGAAAUCAGGGUGUGAUCCAAGCAGCCACCGUUCAGUCGCCAGAGACGCCGCUGGGGGUUCUUCGCCGUCACUAUCGUCCUCAUCCACACGAGCUGCAGCGCUGCGCGGCCCAGCCAUCGUGACCUCCGUGGAGUCCGCGUCGCUGUCGCCUCGGCUGCUUCCACCGCCGCUGGAUCCGUCGCGCGCGCCGUUGUCUGAGGAGCCACCGUCGUCCUUGCUCUUUGUCUCCCUUAGAGCCGUCACCGUCGCUGGAGCCAGCCGCCUUCGUCGCCGUUCAUCUUUGCCGUCGCCCUUAUCGCCGCUCUGUGGAGGCCGCAGAGAAGAACGUGAACCAGGAGCCAUAGCGCCGCCGCCGCCGAUCUGUCACCAUGCUGCCGCGCUGCCGUUCGUUGUUGUUCCGCCACCGGCAGGCCUUGUCGUCGCCGGAGUUACCACCGCCGCGUGCCACGCCGCUUCUCACCGCUGAAGGGAAGCGCCACUGCUAUUGCCCGACAGUAGUUUCCCCUUUGUUCCCAAUUCCAUUCCUGAAACUUAUUAUCGUCCUUAUCCGGAACCACUGAUGUCACCGCUAUAGAGAUGAUUGGGAUAGGCGCGAUUGUCAUUGUUGUUGCUGCCCCAGAAGAAGUGAGGCUGCUGCUGCUGUUUGGCUGAAGCUGAGACCUUUCACCAUCACUGGAGCUGCCCAGAAUUAUCAUGGUAGCUGCUAAGAGAGCAGAACGGAUGUUAGAACUGCCAAUGGAGCUGCUGGGUUUAGUGAUUUCUGUGAGUUUCGACUUUGAGUGACACAGGUUCGAAGACUCCAUUUGAAGCUGCAGGCGAUUAUAGAUCUUAUUUAUGAGUUAAGUUUAUGACUUGAGUUAUUUUCAUAGAAGUUCCCUCGCUCUUAUUGCUUAACAUUUUUAUUUUAUACAGAGGGAUAGGAUUUGUAUGCGAGUUUUGUUUGAAAUCUUUUGUAUGACAGAUAUUAUUAUUAAUGAUUAUGUGAUUAUUAUUACUUGGUGAU
Arachis duranensis is the source of this 1225-nucleotide long non-coding RNA. RefSeq lists it as uncharacterized. The record is from RefSeq and is a predicted model, not a curated record. The transcript is spliced from 3 exons. NCBI's taxonomy places the organism in Eukaryota, Viridiplantae, Streptophyta, Magnoliopsida, Fabales, Fabaceae.